ACGGAGCACGCCGCGUGCCGGAGGACGGCCUUCGGGUUGUAAACGGCUUUUCGGGGGAAGAAACGGACGGUACCCGAGGAAUAAGCCCCGGCUAACUCCGUGCCAGCAGCCGCGGUAAUACGGAGGGGGCAAGCGUUGUCCGGACUUACUGGGCGUAAAGCGUGCGUAGGCGGCAGGGUGCGUCGGUGCUGAAAGCGCCCCGCUUAACGGGGGGAGGGGGGGCGAUACGACUCCGCUCGAGGUAGUCAGAGGUUGGUAGAAUUCCGGGUGUAGUUGUGAAAUGCGUAGAUACCCGGAGGAAUGUCGGUGGCGAAAGCGACCAACUGGGGCUGGCCUGACGCUGAGGCACGAAAGCGUGGGGAGCGAACCGGAUUAGAUACCCGGGUAGUCCACGCCGUAAACGAUGUCGGCCUGGUGUUCCGCAGUAUGAAAGUGCUGCUGAGUGCCGAAGGGGGGGCGCUAAUCCGACCGCCUGGGGACUACGAGCGCAAGCUUAAAACUCAAAGGAAUUGACGGGGGCCCGCACAAGUAGCGUAGCGUGUGGUUUAAUUCGACGCAGCGUGAAGAACCUUAGCCAGGUUUGACCUGUUGCCCCAGCGCAGAGCUAUGUGUGACCUUCGAGGGUGCCACACACGUGCUGCAUGGCUUUCGUCAGCUCGCGUCGUGAGUCGGUGGG
This 676-nucleotide ribosomal RNA is filed under the name uncultured Chloroflexaceae bacterium. Its description in RNAcentral is "bacterial SSU rRNA". It matches the Rfam family "Bacterial small subunit ribosomal RNA", at positions 386 to 1079 of the family's 1533-position model. The record is from RNAcentral. Lineage: Bacteria; Bacillati; Chloroflexota; Chloroflexia; Chloroflexales; Chloroflexaceae.